UACGGAGGAUGCGAGCGUUAUCCGGAUUUAUUGGGUUUAAAGGGUGCGUAGGCGGGCUUUUAAGUCAGCGGUAAAAAUUCGGGGCUCAACCCCGUCCGGCCGUUGAAACUGGGGGCCUUGAGUGGGCGAGAAGAAGGCGGAAUGCGUGGUGUAGCGGUGAAAUGCAUAGAUAUCACGCAGAACCCCGAUUGCGAAGGCAACCUUCCGGCGCCCUACUGACGCUGAGGCACGAAAGCGUGGGGAGCAAACAGG
Molecule: ribosomal RNA, 252 nt
Filed under: uncultured bacterium
Lineage: Bacteria
Description: partial 16S ribosomal RNA
Rfam family: Bacterial small subunit ribosomal RNA
Source: RNAcentral